This 212-nucleotide ribosomal RNA is filed under the name uncultured bacterium. Its description in RNAcentral is "partial 16S ribosomal RNA". It matches the Rfam family "Bacterial small subunit ribosomal RNA", at positions 1289 to 1500 of the family's 1533-position model. The record is from RNAcentral.
CAGUUCGGAUUGUAGUCUGCAACCCGACUACAUGAAGCUGGAAUCGCUAGUAAUCGCGGAUCAGAAUGCCGCGGUGAAUACGUUCCCGGGUCUUGUACACACCGCCCGUCACACCAUGGGAGUCGGAAAUGCCCGAAGUCUGUGACCCAACCUUAGGGAGGGAGCAGCCGAAGGCAGGUCGGAUGACUGGGGUGAAGUCGUAACAAGGUAUC